GCAAACCUCACGAAAGCCAAUCUCAGUUCGGAUUGUAGGCUGCAACUCGCCUACAUGAAGUUGGAAUCGCUAGUAAUCGCGAAUCAGAAUGUCGCGGUGAAUACGUUCCCGGGUCUUGUACACACCGCCCGUCACACCACGAGAGUUUACAACACCCGAAGUCAGUGGCCUAACCGCAAGGAGGGAGCUGCCUAAGGUGGGGUAGAUGAUUGGGGUGAAGUCGUAACAAGGUAAC
This 235-nucleotide ribosomal RNA is filed under the name uncultured bacterium. Its description in RNAcentral is "partial 16S ribosomal RNA". It matches the Rfam family "Bacterial small subunit ribosomal RNA", at positions 1267 to 1500 of the family's 1533-position model. The record is from RNAcentral.